RNAcentral lists this ribosomal RNA (253 nucleotides) under uncultured bacterium. RNAcentral describes it as "partial 16S ribosomal RNA". It matches the Rfam family "Bacterial small subunit ribosomal RNA", at positions 524 to 776 of the family's 1533-position model. The record is from RNAcentral.
UACGAGGGGGGCAAGCGUUGUUCGGAAUUAUUGGGCGUAAAGGGCGCGUAGGCGGUGCGGUAAGUCACCUGUGAAACCUCUGGGCUUAACUCAGAGCCUGCAGGCGAAACUGCCGUGCUGGAGUAUGGGAGAGGUGCGUGGAAUUCCCGGUGUAGCGGUGAAAUGCGUAGAUAUCGGAAGGAACACCUGUGGCGAAAGCGGCGCACUGGACCAAAACUGACGCUGAGGCGCGAAAGCUAGGGGAGCAAACAGG